UCGGUGUGCGACUGCUGUGCAGGAGGUGCAGGCGGGAUGCUGACUAAAAAGUGCACAGCUGCACCGGCGAACUGCGCGGGGUAGCCAGAGCCAGCGGUACCCGGCGGCGGCGCAGGCUGCACUGUGACGAGACGAUCCACGGUACCGACGGGUCGCAUCAGCCCUGCAGACCGGACGGGUAGGUCUGUCUCCGGACCUCAUCGAUUUUACUCUGUGACAGCCAGCUCACGUUCAUAAGUGUGCGCGAAAAGAAAAGAAGAAGAAGAGGACUGAUGAAUGUGUGAGCUCACCUUUUCGUUCACCUUGGAAAUAUAACAACGCAUGAAAGGUUGAUGGAUCGCCUGCCGCAGAAACAAGUUGGCACGGACUCUUGUGGCCAUAAAGUACAGCCCGGAAACUGUUCAUUAAUUGGAGCUGGUCUGGAUUUACCUCCACAACUCCAAACACAGGAAGCACCUCUGAGCAGCCAGUCGGAGAAGCUCAAGAAAGAGUCUGGAUUGAAUCCCAUGCAGGUGGUUGUUAUGCCAAAAAGGGGGACUGAGCAGAUGCAGUCAGGGCAGACGAAGCCUGCAUCCACUCCAGUAACACUGGCAUGCAUAAGCCGACCAAGGCCAACUGCUCUUGGAAAUAAACCAAGGCGGACCAGAAUUUCAGUGGAGCCAUCCAACGAGAUAGAUUUGAUCCCUAUUUGCAUCCCAGGACCUCAGAGUACAAACAUACUCCUACACUCCCCGACAGAUCCUUCAUUGCCUCCACACAGUCCUCAUUCUCCCCAUAGCCCUCAGCCUUACCUGAACCCCACCCCCUGCCUUCCUCCACCACCACCACCACCACCACCCCCUCCUCCCUCUCCCCCUCCUCCCCCUCCUCCCCAGCCAUCACCCAACCUGCCCUCCAGCCUCAGCUUCAAG
Long non-coding RNA from Oreochromis aureus, 911 nucleotides. Lineage: Eukaryota; Metazoa; Chordata; Actinopteri; Cichliformes; Cichlidae. The record is from Ensembl.